Molecule: ribosomal RNA, 493 nt
Filed under: Salmonella enterica
Lineage: Bacteria; Pseudomonadati; Pseudomonadota; Gammaproteobacteria; Enterobacterales; Enterobacteriaceae
Description: partial 23S ribosomal RNA
Rfam family: Bacterial large subunit ribosomal RNA
Source: RNAcentral
AAUCCAUAGGUUAAUGAGGCGAACCGGGGGAACUGAAACAUCUAAGUACCCCGAGGAAAAGAAAUCAACCGAGAUUCCCCCAGUAGCGGCGAGCGAACGGGGAGGAGCCCAGAGCCUGAAUCAGCAUGUGUGUUAGUGGAAGCGUCUGGAAAGGCGCGCGAUACAGGGUGACAGCCCCGUACACAAAAGCGCAUGUGCUGUGAGCUCGAUGAGUAGGGCGGGACACGUGGUAUCCUGUCUGAAUAUGGGGGGACCAUCCUCCAAGGCUAAAUACUCCUGACUGACCGAUAGUGAACCAGUACCGUGAGGGAAAGGCGAAAAGAACCCCGGCGAGGGGAGUGAAAAAGAACCUGAAACCGUGUACGUACAAGCAGUGGGAGCACCCUUUGGGGUGUGACUGCGUACCUUUUGUAUAAUGGGUCAGCGACUUAUAUUCUGUAGCAAGGUUAACCGUAUAGGGGAGCCGGAGGGAAACCGAGUCUUAACCGGGCGU